UACGGAGGAUCCAAGCGUUAUCCGGAUUUAUUGGGUUUAAAGGGUGCGUAGGCGGCUUAUUAAGUCAGGGGUGAAAGACGGUGGCUCAACCAUCGCAGUGCCUUUGAUACUGAUGAGCUUGAAUACACUUGAGGUAGGCGGAAUGUGACAAGUAGCGGUGAAAUGCUUAGAUAUGACAUAGAACACCAAUUGCGAAGGCAGCUCACUACACAAUCAUUGACUCUGAGGCACGAAAGCGUGGGGAUCAAACAGG
This 253-nucleotide ribosomal RNA is filed under the name uncultured bacterium. RNAcentral's name for it is "partial 16S ribosomal RNA". It matches the Rfam family "Bacterial small subunit ribosomal RNA", at positions 524 to 776 of the family's 1533-position model. The record is from RNAcentral.